AAAUGCGAUAAUUAAUGUGAAUUGCAGAAUUCAGUGAAUCAUCGAGUCUUUGAACGCACGUUGCGCCCCCUGGUAUUCCGGGGGGCAUGCCUGUCCGAGCGUCAUUGCUGCCCUCAAGCACGGCUUGUGUGUUGGGCUUCCGUCCCUGGCAACGGGGACGGGCCCAAAAGGCAGUGGCGGCACCAUGUCUGGUCCUCGAGCGUAUGGGGCUUUGUCACCCGCUCCCGUAGGUCCAGCUGGCAGCUAGCCUCGCAACCAAUCUUUUUAACCAGGUUGACCUCGGAUCAGGUAGGGAUACCCGCUGAACUUAAGC
This 313-nucleotide unclassified non-coding RNA is filed under the name plant metagenome. Its description in RNAcentral is "partial contains 5.8S ribosomal RNA, internal transcribed spacer 2, and large subunit ribosomal RNA". The stretch from base 1 to 104 matches the Rfam family "5.8S ribosomal RNA", at positions 51 to 154 of the family's 154-position model. The record is from RNAcentral.